Long non-coding RNA from Equus caballus (horse), 4647 nucleotides. Lineage: Eukaryota; Metazoa; Chordata; Mammalia; Perissodactyla; Equidae. The record is from Ensembl.
GCCUAUUCUAUAUUCUAAGAUAUAUGGAGAUAAUUUAUUAUCUGACAGUUCUGGAGGCCAGAAGUCCCACACGGAUCUCACUGAACUAAAAUCAGAGCGUCGGCAGGGCUGGGUUCCUUCUUGAGGUCUGUGGAGAAUGCAUUUCCACACCUCUCCCAGCUUCCAGAGGCUGCCUCCUUCCUCCAUCUUUAAAGUCAGCCACAGCGGGUGGAGCCCUUCUCAUUGCAUCUCUGGGACUUUUCUCCUCAUCUCUCGUCUCUUUCUCUCACCCAGCGGGGAAAGUUUCCGCUUUCGUGUUCUCCACUCAAGCAAUUAGCCCGGCGCCGCGGGAAUAAUCCAAGAUGAGAGUCCCAUCUCAAGGUCUGUAACUUCAGUCACAUCUGCAUAGUCACUUCGGCCAUCUACAGUAACAUAUUCACAGGUUCUCAGGAUUAGGGCACGGAUAUCUUUGGGGCUUUUAUUCUGCCCCUAAAUCCUUAAAUUUACAAGCCCCCAAGCCAGUGCCCACAGCAAGAUUUCUUAAAAGCCUCUUUUUCCUCUCCCCUCCACUUCUUCCGAAAGCUGCACCUGCUUUGGCAUCUCUUUCCUCAAUAUUCUCCACAAAAACUCUCACAGGCCCAGCCUCUAAGCUGCCUCCCUUAUCCUGGCGCCGCCUUCCUCCUGGGAAGAAAAAAACCCGCACAACGAAACCUCUCCAGUGGGCAGGAGAGCCCCCUCCUCCGGCUUCUGCCUGUUGUUGACGGACGCAACCAUCCUUCGCAACUUGGUUUCUAUGGGAAACCGGGUUAGGGCUGGGGUGCGGUCCACAGCGGACCUCGCGGCGGCGGUACCAGGCUGGGACAUCCACCCUUUGGACACCUCUGUCCCUCCGAUGCCCCAGUGAUGACCUAGGACAUGGGUCCCCAACUUCUGUCCCCUCUUAGACCCCGUCCUUCGCAGGGCCACUGGCUGCGACCACCUUGACCUGCGGCAGGACACCAGGAGAUCUCAGGUCCAGCCCGCGCCCCGACCAGCCCUUGAACAGUAUGUCCUGCCGCCCCUCCUCCCCCCUCCAGCGCCCGCUCUUCUUCCUCCGCGCCCGGCCCCUCGCGGGUCACCGGUCCCCUGCAGCCUCCGCCCCUGGCUGUGACCGCCCCGGCUGCCGUCUCCAGGGCGCGGACCGACGCGGGAAGCGGGUCGGCGAGGGACGGGGACACAGUGCGCCGAAAUCCAUGUGGAAUCCAACACUGGGAGACAAUGCUGCGAGCGAAGGAAGGAAGACAAAAAGCUAAAGGAGCAGCCCUGCCCGUCGUUCCGAUUCUCCAGAAGUUCCUGAGAACGUACGAGAAGCACUGUGCACAGACUCGGACGUCCGUGUGCCCGGCCGUCAAGAGGGACCUGAAAGCCGGCAUUGACAAUGGACAGAUUCUCAGGAAGUUUAUACUUGUAAGACCUGAUGACUCCCCGCCAAGCAUCCCACCGAUUUCCUUGGAACCUUUGCUUAUGACAAUUCGAGAAGAGUGUUACACGCUGGGGAAAGAGAUCUGCAUCUGGGGCCUUCAACUGAGCAACCCAGAGAUUGCCAGACUCGCUUUGCUUCUGGAGUUGAAGGGGCGCAGCACCUGCCCGUUUACCACCCUAGAGCUCGUUGAUUGCAAGAUGGAUCCGUGGUCUCUCGGGAGACUUGGGGAGGCUCUGCAGUUCAGCAGUUUGCACUCUCUUGUCCUGGAUUACUGCAACUUUGGAAUUGAAGAAAUUGAGCGUAUUUUCUCAGGCCUGGAGAACAACCAAAGGCUCCAAGGCCUCAGCCUGCGUUACUGUGGUCCGGGGCCACGGAGCGGGCCGGCGCUGGGCUCGGUCGUAAGCCAGAGUGCUGUCCGUGAGCUGCACCUCGACGGCAAUUACUUGCAAUGUUCUGGAGCUCUGGCUCUGCUCAGACCCCUAGCAGAGUAUGCAGAGAUGCAGGGCAAAGGCUGGCCCACCACAUCCUCACCAGACGCCAGGAAUCCCCCUCAGCUGCUCGGAGUCAGCCACAGAGCAAGUUCAACUUUGAACCCGAUUACAAAGUCAUCUGGAGCUGUAACAGUGAAAACUACUUCAGGGAAGAAUAAGAGAAAGAAAGGAAUCAAGAAAAAAGUUAAAGGUUUGACUGAAGCUGGUCCUUGGUUAGUGAAAUUGCAUUUGGCAGAUAAUGGCAUAGAUGGAAAAGGAAACGAAGGAGAAAAAGGCUUCUUGGAAUUCACUCAGAUUUUAACAUGCCUGAUCAAAUACUCUGCCCACUUAAGGGAAAUUGACCUUGGAAACAACGGCCUGGGAGAAAGGGCUGCUGCUGACAUACUUGAAGCACUGCGAGCCAGAAAGGCAGGUAAACUGCCAGUCUUAAAACUUACAGUCACUCCUCAGAUCUCCUCAGACACCUUCCGAUCUAUUUGGAAAAAUAGCAAGAAAUCUUAUAUUACCCGUAAAAAGAAGAAAAAGGUUAAAAACUGACUAUGGAUGCCAUCUAUUUCUAUGGCCAACCAGAUAUGCCUAGAAAGAUAUUGCUUGUUCUAUAAUAAUAUUUUUCACUGUAACCAAGCCCCUUUCAAGUUCUAAAAUUUGACAAAACAAUUUUAUGAAAAUUCAAAGAAGUGUUAAUCCUAUCGUGCUUGUCAACUUCUAAAAUGUGAAUUUCACAAGUAGGCCUUAGAGAAAAUGGGUGGGAUUCUCUUCUGGAGCUUCUUCUCUUAUACAUGUGAAAUUUAUGAUUUGAAGGAAGUCAUGUUCUUUAUCUAAGACAGAAAGAAUCUUCUUUCAUAAAUAUAUCUAUAGUUGGGAACAAUAGUAAUUUUUGGAAAUAAUAACCACUUUAUAAAAGACAACAUCCCUCCAAAUGGGCAUCUCCUCCAAAUAAGGAAACUUCUGAUCACCAUACCCCCCAUGAAGAUGUCAGACAGAAAUGGAGGAAGUGUGGUUGAUGUAUGUAUGGAUGAUAAAUUGGAUUAGUUGAAUUUUAUAUGCCAGGACAAUAUGGUGCAGGAAUGAAAAGCAUGGACUGGGGAGUUAGAUGAACAAGAAUUCUUUGUGGAAACCAGCUGCUUUCCAAGUAUGUGACUUUGGGCAAGUCAAUUAACCUCAUUGUGCCUCAGUUUCCCUUUAUAUAAGAUACAGAUAAUAAUAGCAUCUAUCUCAUUUGGUUAGCAUUGAAUGAGAGGACACAUGGCAAGCAUUUUAGGUCAAUACUUGUUUCAUAGUACAUGCUCACAAAUAAAUAUUAGUGGCUCUGAUUAUUGCUGUUAUUAUUGUUGAUGUUAGAAUUGAGUGAUUCCAGUUAUUUCUCUUAGGACAGCUACACAAGAAAAAUAGAAAAGAAAAAAAGAUGAAGACUUAGGACCUCUGUAUUUUGAAGUAAAGAAAAAAAAGUCAUUCAUUCUAUGUACAAAUGUAACAAGCACUGGCAAGUUCAUGAAACCAAACUAACUGUGGGGAUGGGUAUAGUAAAUUAUGUCUCCUCUUGAGGAUCUUAGCAUCUAGCUAGGAAGACAAGAUCCUCACACAUUAAAAGUAAACAAUAAUAGAGCAUAAGAGUUGAAAUAAUAUGUCAUUAUCGAGGGUAACAAAGGCUAUAGAGUAGUGAGAUCAAUUUAGCAAAUCUCCAGAAUUUAAAUAUCCAAUGUGUGAGGCCUCCUGAGAAAUUAUUCCUGAUUUAAAAAAAAAAAUUUGGAAAAAAAAUGGAAAUUUGCCACUGACAUCCACUGGGUGAGAGUUUAAAAUCUGUUUCUCUUUAGGGGUCUUUUGGCCGUGUCUAUCAAAAUGAAAAAUACAUAGCUUUUGACCCAGAUAUUCUACUUCUAGAAAUUUAUUUUACAGAUACACUCUCACACUGUGCAAAGAAAUAUACAUGAGGAUAUUCACUGAGGCACUGUUUAUUAUACACUGGAAACAACUAAAUGUUCUCAGAGGAUUCUCAGGGAAAUAAAUCACAGGAAAUAUAUGUGGUGGAAUACUAUGCAGCCAUCAAGAGGAAUAAUGUAGAUAUAUAAAUGCUUAUACAGAAAGACAAAGUAAUACUGUUAAACAAAAAGAGCAGUCUAGAGAAUAGUAUAUGUGAAAAACUCAUAUUAAAAGUGAAGUGAUGUAAUAUGAGCCAGCAAUUUCACUUCUGAGUAUACACACAAAAGAAUUGAAAGCGGGAUCUUGAAGAGCUAUUUGUAUAUCUAUGUUCAUAGCAGCAUUAUGCACAAUAGUCAAAGGUGGAAGCAACCCAAAUGAAUGGAUAAACAAAAUAUGGUCUAUACAUACAAUGGAAUAUUAUUCAGCUUUAAAAAGGAAGGAAAUUCUGACACAUGCUACAACAUGGAUGAACCUUCAGGACAUCAUGCUAAGUGAAAUAAACCAGUCACAAAAAGACAAAUACUGUUUGAUUCCACUUAUAUGAGAUAUUGAGAAUAGUCAAACUCAGAAACAGAAAGUAGGAUGGUGGAUGCCAGGGGAAGAGGAGAGGGAAAUGGAGAGUUGUUUAAAGGGUAUAGAGUUUCAGUUUUGGAAGACGAAAAAGUUCUGGAGAUUGGUUGUGUUAACAAUGUGAAUGUACUUAAUACUAUUGAACUGUACACUUAAAAAUGGCUAGGAUGGCAAACUUCAUGUUAUGUGUAUUUUACCAAAAUUAAAAAUUUUUUUAAUGAGCUG